AAUCAUAAAGCCAAAUUACAACACCCAAACGCCUGAGAAAUGAUAGAGAAGCCUCGGUGGAUAGCCCGCUCCCGGUACUUUGGUACAAACCGCCAGAGGACCCCUAAAACUCUGUUUCUAUAUGUAACUUCUGAGUAAAACCACAAAUAAAUUAAAACUUUCAACAACGGAUCUCUUGGUUCUGGCAUCGAUGAAGAACGCAGCAAAAUGCGAUAAGUAAUGUGAAUUGCAGAAUUCAGUGAAUCAUCGAAUCUUUGAACGCACAUUGCGCCCGCCAGUAUUCUGGCGGGCAUGCCUGUUCGAGCGUCAUUACAACCCUCAAGCCCCCGGGCUUGGUGUUGGAGAUCGGCCUCCCCCCCCGGGGCGCGCCGGCUCCCAAAUAUAUUGACGGUCUCGCUGUAGCUUCCUCUGCGUAGUAGCACACCUCGCACUGGAAAACAGCGUGGCCACGCCGUUAAACCCCCCACUUCUGAAAGGUUGACCUCGGAUCAGGUAGGAAUACCCGCUGAACUUAAGCAUAUCAAUAAGCGGAGGAA
Molecule: ribosomal RNA, 536 nt
Filed under: uncultured fungus
Lineage: Eukaryota; Fungi
Description: eukaryotic LSU rRNA
Rfam family: 5.8S ribosomal RNA (bases 156-309)
Source: RNAcentral